This 424-nucleotide long non-coding RNA is filed under the name Homo sapiens (human). RNAcentral describes it as "HSALNT0188535". The record is from RNAcentral. Lineage: Eukaryota; Metazoa; Chordata; Mammalia; Primates; Hominidae.
GGCCGGAAACCCCUUCGCAUGGCAGCCGGUUCCGGUUCGGACUUUGUAUCUUUGCUAAAGUCAGUGAUGUGAAAAGACUUGAAAUGGAUGAUAUUGCUGAUAGGAUGAGGAUGGAUGCUGGAGAAGUGACUUUAGUGAACCACAACUCCGUAUUCAAAACCCACCUCCUGCCACAAACAGGUUUUCCAGAGGACCAGCUUUCGCUUUCUGACCAGCAGAUUUUAUCUUCCAGGCAAGGACAUUUGGACCGAUCUUUUACAUGUUCCACAAGAAGUGCAGCUUAUAAUCCAAGCUAUUACUCAGGCCCAGGCCUGGGAGUGCUUGCAAGAUAUAGUUGGGGUAAAAUGUUGACUUUUGGUGGACACCACGGAGUCACAUUGAUGCAGAUAAGGCACAUGGCUGUGGCAGGAUUCAGCUCCUUCAU